AGCAGCCGCGGUAAUUCCAGCUCCAAUAGCGUAUAUUAAAGUUGUUGCAGUUAAAAAGCUCGUAGUUGAAUUUCGGGGUUAGCAGGUCGGUCGUGCCAUUGGUAUGAACUGGUCUCGCUGAUCCCUCCCUCUUGACGAACUGUGAUGCCAUUAAUUUGGUGUCGCAGGGAAUCAGGACUGUUACUUUGAAAAAUUAGAGUGUUUAAAGCAGGCUCACGCUUGAAUACAUUAGCAUGGAAUAAUGAAAUAGGACGUUUGAUCCUAUUUUGUUGGCUUCUAGGAUUGACGUAAUGAUUAAUAGGGAUAGUUGGGGGCAUUAGUAUUCAAUUGUCAGAGGUGAAAUUCUUGGAUUUAUUGAAGACUAACUACUGCGAAAGCAUUUGCCAAGGAUGUUUUCAUUAAUCAAGAACGAAAGUUAGGGGAUCGAAGACGAUCAGAUACCGUCGUAGUCUUAACCAUAAACUAUGCCGACUAGGGAUCGGAUGAUGUUAAUUUUUAAUGACUCU
This 506-nucleotide unclassified non-coding RNA is filed under the name uncultured Glomus. Its description in RNAcentral is "SSU rRNA". It matches the Rfam family "Eukaryotic small subunit ribosomal RNA", at positions 569 to 1078 of the family's 1831-position model. Lineage: Eukaryota; Fungi; Glomeromycota; Glomeromycetes; Glomerales; Glomeraceae. The record is from RNAcentral.